AGCUUUGCACAGUGGCAAUAUCGUAGCCAAUGAGGCUUAUCCAAGGUGCGAUUAUUGCUAAUUGAAAACUUUUCCCAAGAUGACAUAUCCAGGAGCCAAGUUCUAGGUACUGAAAACAUUUACUUCAUUUCAA
Small nuclear RNA from Spermophilus dauricus (Daurian ground squirrel), 133 nucleotides. Its record names the gene U4. It matches the Rfam family "U4 spliceosomal RNA". From Rfam's summary of the family: U4 small nuclear RNA (U4 snRNA) is a component of the major U2-dependent spliceosome. The record is from Ensembl. Lineage: Eukaryota; Metazoa; Chordata; Mammalia; Rodentia; Sciuridae.